This 253-nucleotide ribosomal RNA is filed under the name uncultured bacterium. RNAcentral's name for it is "partial 16S ribosomal RNA". It matches the Rfam family "Bacterial small subunit ribosomal RNA", at positions 524 to 776 of the family's 1533-position model. The record is from RNAcentral.
UACAGAGGUCCCGAGCGUUGUCCGGAUUUAUUGGGUUUAAAGGGUGCGUAGGCGGCUUUGUAAGUCAGUGGUGAAAUAUGGCAGCUCAACUGUCAGGGUGCCAUUGAUACUGCAGAGCUUGAGUACAGAUGAGGUAGGCGGAAUUGACGGUGUAGCGGUGAAAUGCUUAGAUAUCGUCAAGAACACCGAUAGCGAAGGCAGCUUACUGGGCUGUAACUGACGCUGAGGCACGAAAGUGUGGGGAUCAAACAGG